Molecule: long non-coding RNA, 135 nt
Organism: Amblyraja radiata (thorny skate)
Lineage: Eukaryota; Metazoa; Chordata; Chondrichthyes; Rajiformes; Rajidae
Exons: 3
Source: RefSeq, a predicted model, not a curated record
GGAAAUUAUUAAACACUGUUUUCGAAAAAGAGGGGGGUUCAAGGGUUCAAGUCAGAGCAGAACCGAACCAAAUUCGAUCAACCAUGGGCGGAAAUCGCUUUUAAAACAUGGGGGUGGGGGGACAGACAAAGACGC